This 32-nucleotide unclassified non-coding RNA is filed under the name Arabidopsis thaliana (thale cress). RNAcentral's name for it is "TAS1a RNA reverse strand from Arabidopsis thaliana (PDB 7VG3, chain D)". Lineage: Eukaryota; Viridiplantae; Streptophyta; Magnoliopsida; Brassicales; Brassicaceae. The record is from RNAcentral.
GACUUAGGAUGAAUGACUCAUUCGCUUGUAGA